Molecule: ribosomal RNA, 1350 nt
Filed under: Triticum aestivum (bread wheat)
Lineage: Eukaryota; Viridiplantae; Streptophyta; Magnoliopsida; Poales; Poaceae
Description: partial small subunit ribosomal RNA
Source: RNAcentral
AUGACGGGGGUGGUGGUGGUCUCCACGGGGUGCAAGGGCGGAAGCGUGGGGAAGAAGAGGGGCGGCGGGGAGGAGGCGGAGGAGCGGGAGAGGCAGCAGCUGUCGGUGCUGGCGCUGCUGCUCGCGGCCGUGCGGAGGUCGGUGGUGGCUUGCCGGGUGGAGCGGGGGCCGGACCGCGUCGCCGGUGGCGGCGGCGGCUGCCGCUGGGGGGAGAACGACGAGGACGCGGCCGCCCCCGAGCUGGCGGAGAUGGAGAUCGGCUGGCCGACCGACGUCCGCCACGUCGCGCACGUCACCUUCGACCGCUUCCACGGCUUCCUCGGCCUCCCCGUCGAGUUCGAGGUGGAGAUGCCUCCCCGCGUCCCCAGCGCCAGUGCGAGUGUUUUCGGUGUCUCAGCUGAAUCAAUGCAAUGCACCUACGAUGGUAAGGGAAACUCGGUCCCCACGAUACUGCUGCUUAUGCAGGAGAGGUUGUAUGCUCAGGGGGGGCUAAAGGCUGAAGGGAUCUUCCGCAUAAACCCGGAGAAUGACCAAGAAGAGCAUGUGAGGGAUCAACUGAACAAAGGAGUUGUUCCUGAGGACAUUGAUGUUCACUGCUUGGCAAGCCUCAUUAAGGCAUGGUUCAGGGAACUUCCUGAAGGUGUGCUGGAUAGCCUCUCCCCGGAGCAGGUUCUGCAAUGCAAUUCUGAAGAGGAAUUCCUAGAGCUUGUGACGCUACUGCGCCCCACUCCAGCUGCACUCCUCAAUUGGGCUGUUGAGCUAAUGGCUGAUGUUGUGGAGGAGGAGCUAAACAAGAUGAAUGCUAGAAACAUAGCCAUGGUAUUUGCCCCCAACAUGACUCAGAUGUCAGAUCCUUUGACAGCCCUGAUGCAUGCUGUGCAAGUCAUGAACUUUCUCAAAACAUUGAUCUUGAGGACGCUUCGAGAGCGUGAUGAUGUAGCUCCUGGAGAUUACACUCCAUACUCAUCUCCAGCAUCUUCCGGUCGGCAUUCUGAUGCCGAAUACUAUGGCAGUGAGCGGGAGAUGAUGGACAGAAGCUGUGAGCUGAGCGAUAUGCACAGCCAGAUCAGCAAGUCCGGGGGGCAGGUGGAUUAUUUGGUGAGGUACAACACCUGUUUCGACAGCGAACAGGAAGGCGACCAUCCCCUCACCGAAGCUGAAGAGGUAUUCUUGGAUCGGCUGGAAAGCCAACUCGAAGACGACAGACCAGAGGGAAGCACAAACAAGCAGCGCGAAGUAAGCUCCGAGAUUGUGGAAAUGGAGGACGAUCAACCUGAACUGAAAUCUGAAACCAAGGCACUGGAGGACAUACAUGAAGAAGAAGAAGAAGGUGCAGAGUUAUUGAAAUGA